UUGGAGUAGUUGCCAUAGGCACGCCUUUGAUAAAGAGCAGGCCUCUUGUAAGCCCCAUCAUAGCCAUGGAAAUCUUGGGGAAGACUAGAAUGAAGGAGCUGACCAGCUACCUUCUGCAUGACAGUUGGAUAUUGAACUUGAUCAACCAUUAUGACUUUCCCUGAUGGGCGUGGCUGCUAUGGGGUGGGUUUUUUUCUCUCCGCCGCUCGCUGAGCUUUGAAACAAGAAAUCAGCUAGAGCAG
This 242-nucleotide unclassified non-coding RNA is filed under the name Hevea brasiliensis (rubber tree). Lineage: Eukaryota; Viridiplantae; Streptophyta; Magnoliopsida; Malpighiales; Euphorbiaceae. The record is from RNAcentral.